Phlebotomus papatasi is the source of this 783-nucleotide long non-coding RNA. RefSeq lists it as uncharacterized. Lineage: Eukaryota; Metazoa; Arthropoda; Insecta; Diptera; Psychodidae. The transcript is spliced from 2 exons. The record is from RefSeq and is a predicted model, not a curated record.
ACAAUAGUUUUCUUUCAAAUAGACUUCUAUUGUCAUCGUGUUUCUGGGCACCAUACUACAUGUUUAAACUCAAUGGUAACAGAUUAAACAGCUUUGUUACUAACUUGUAUUUUAGUAUAAAGGAAUCGUGAUAUUAAUACGUGCUACAGAAAUUAAAUUCUUUCUGUUGCUAUACACAGCAAAAUUUUAGUGUCUUUUGUUUAGUAUAUAAAGUAGCUUAUGUGUGAUCUAACUCAUCAGUUUUAAGUAAACUUGUGCCCGAAAACAUGUGUAAAAUUUUCUACAUUGUUGCAGCCUUCUUGUUUAGUACAACGUUGGCUGGCCCAGUUGCCAUCACUCCAUGUGGUGACAACAACGGUAUAACAGUUUCAGUCGACGUGGACUUAUGCUCUGGUACAACUAAUCCUUGCGAACUUCAGAUAGGUGCUUCCGUUACAAUAGUAGUUUCAGUGAACAUACCCGCACCGCAGAGUUAUAAUUUAAUUUACGCUUUUGUGACCGUUAAUGGUGCUACAUUGUUUGGGCCCUAUGAUGUAUGCGCGGAGGCACCAGGACUAUGCCCAGCAAGCGGAACGUUCUCUUACCCGAUUACAACGACAGUUCCACCUUUUCCAGGAACAUAUAAUGCUGAUAUUGAGCUACGAGUCGCCCCCGACCGUGCAUCUGAUUUAAUUUACUGUGGAACAAUUACAAUUCGUAUUGUUUCAUAAAAUACAGAUAAAAAAAAUGAUUUAAAAAAUGGAUUUCAAAUUGCAAUGAUUAAAAAAAAAUAUUGAUAGCGCA